Recurvomyces mirabilis is the source of this 102-nucleotide non-coding RNA. Lineage: Eukaryota; Fungi; Ascomycota; Dothideomycetes; Mycosphaerellales; Teratosphaeriaceae. The record is from the annotation of a RefSeq genome assembly.
GCUGGGAUGGUGUAGUUGGUUAUCACGUCUGUCUAACAUCGUGCUGAUGCAUCGCGUCACAUGGUGCACAGAAGGUCCCGAGUUCAAGUCUCGGUCCUAGUA